CCUACGGGGGGCGGCAGUGAGGAAUAUUGGUCAAUGGGCGAGAGCCUGAACCAGCCAAAUCGCGUGAAGGAUGAAGGUAUUAUGUAUUGUAAACUUCUUUUAUAGGGGAAUAAAGUGCGGGACGUGUCCCGUUUUGUAUGUACCCUAAGAAUAAGGAUCGGCUAACUCCGUGCCAGCAGCCCCGGUC
RNAcentral lists this ribosomal RNA (187 nucleotides) under uncultured bacterium. RNAcentral's name for it is "partial 16S rRNA". It matches the Rfam family "Bacterial small subunit ribosomal RNA", at positions 338 to 522 of the family's 1533-position model. The record is from RNAcentral.